This 392-nucleotide ribosomal RNA is filed under the name uncultured microorganism. Its description in RNAcentral is "bacterial SSU rRNA". It matches the Rfam family "Bacterial small subunit ribosomal RNA", at positions 9 to 396 of the family's 1533-position model. The record is from RNAcentral.
GAGUUUGAUCAUGGCUCAGAUUGAACGCUGGCGGCAUGCCUUACACAUGCAAGUCGAACGGCAGCAUGAUCUAGCUUGCUAGAUUGAUGGCGAGUGGCGAACGGGUGAGUAAUACAUCGGAACGUGCCCUGUAGUGGGGGAUAACUAGUCGAAAGAUUAGCUAAUACCGCAUACGACCUGAGGGUGAAAGUGGGGGACCGCAAGGCCUCAUGCUAUAGGAGCGGCCGAUGUCUGAUUAGCUAGUUGGUGGGGUAAAGGCCCACCAAGGCGACGAUCAGUAGCUGGUCUGAGAGGACGAUCAGCCACACUGGGACUGAGACACGGCCCAGGACUCCUACGGGAGGCAGCAGUGGGGAAUUUUGGACAAUGGGCGAAAGCCUGAUCCAGCAAUG